Molecule: long non-coding RNA, 2219 nt
Filed under: Nicotiana benthamiana
Lineage: Eukaryota; Viridiplantae; Streptophyta; Magnoliopsida; Solanales; Solanaceae
Description: long non-coding RNA (NBEN_LNC033684)
Source: RNAcentral
UAAAUGUGUAGAAUUUAAACAACGGAUCUUAUAGCCAUGAUUUCUAUCCUUAAGCAUGCAUAAUUAGCCAGCCCUUUUUCACUAGCCAACCCUAAGUAUUUAUUACAAAUUAUUACAAACCAUAAAUACCGAAUUACAGAAGAAAGAACGAAAAGGCUACAACCAUAGGAAGCCUGAUUUGACUUCCUAUCUGAGAUAUGCAAUAAACUGUAUCAUUGCCAAUGCCAUUGAUAACAAAGCCUUUCUUAGAGAAGGGUCAAGUUUGGACAUGCACAGAAAUAAGUGGAAACUAACAUGCCCAUAAACCUGCCAAAACACACAACAUAUAGAGGUUAUGAUCCCAAGGAAUCAGGUUUGGUUCGUGCACAGCAAUAUUCAAUGUUGUCAUGCCCAAAAAAACCAAAGAUACCAAACACAUAGGGGAUAUAAGGUUUGGGAUUCAUAAGUGAUUGAUAGAGUUCAUACAUAAAGGAAACAUAAAUUCAGAAGAAAGAAAGGGCAGAUUACAACAUGCUUAAUCAUGGAACCUGGUUAAAUACAAACAUGAUACAAAUAAGGAUGCAAGAAACAGUAAAGAAGUAUGUUGUUGUUGAUGCAGAAGCUAAAUUAGAACAUACUAGUUAAAGAUGCAAAUGCAGAGAAAAAUAAGCAAGUUUCCCACAGCCUAGCAUUAUCUUUCAGUCGGCUAGGUAAGGCAGCAGUACAAGUAGCAACAGAGAAAAGAGAGAGAUAUUAGUGGAGUGUAUGUCUGAACUCAAGUAAUUUAUAUCUUGUGUUCGCGUGUUUAAAAGAAGAGAAGUACAGGGUAUUUAUAGCUUUUUGAAAACGGGUGAAAGGGAAAUAAUAAGCCAUAAACAUGGAAACAAUCACAGUUUAGAAUCAAUUACACACAUAAUUGCCUUUAAUUAAGGGAUCACUUUCUUAACGAGCAGUGACAGAUUCAAAAUAAGGAAAGAAAUCAAUUUAUAGGCAGAAUGACUACAGCUAUAAAAGAAGUAGUAAAACCAUCGAGUAAGUGAUUAAGUCUAAGUACAUGAAUAUACUUGUUUUGAAAGGAUUCAGUAAGGCAAAACAAGGAAAGGAAUCAAUUAACCUUAACAGGCAAGAGAAAUCAGAUUUUUACAAAAGAAAAGUUUGAAAUUAGUCACAAAAUUAAAGAUCAAUAAAACAAAGAAACUUAGCAUAUAAAUAUAGUGCACAAACACUAUACACGCGAGGCCAAGCCUAUUGGCAAAAGGAAAUAGCAUGCAAUAGUAGCACGAAAAUUCAGUAGCUAGCAACACUCGAAGCAUGAUAGUCCAUUAGGCCAAGUCACAUUGAAUCAGUAGUGAAGAAAACAUAAAAUAUCAAAAGCAUGCGAAGAUCUCACAGUAGUAGGUGAGGAAUACCCCUUUUUAAAAAAUUAGUUUUUCGAGAAUAAUCGAGUUUUAGAGAUGAUAGAAACCUAGAAUCAGAAAAAUCACACAAAGGAAAGAGAGGUUUCGAAAUAAAGAACUUCAAAUCGACUUAUGUACUUAAACGAACAGUCUCAGACCCAAAGCCAUAGGAUUUUCAACAAUGGUAGAGUUUUAAAAAGAGGAUAUACAAACAAAUCAGACAAAACUCAAACAAACAAGAAUUCGUCUAAUAAAUAGUCAAAAGAAAUUAGGGCUUUUAACAUGCAAACUCAGGUAGAAGAACAAUAUGAGCAAACAUACCAAAAAAAUCAAAGAAAAGUUUGAAAUAACUUAACAAGAACUCUAAUAGAAAAAAAUAAGGAGUUUUGAAAGAAAAGUUUUAAAAGAAACUUCGAGAAAAAUGCUUACAAGUUCAAAGAGAACGUAGAUCUGAAGCAGAUCUGAAAGAAAUCGAAAGAACCUUAGAGAUUAGGGUUUUAGAAAAACCCCAAGUGAUGAGAAAGGCCUUGAAAGCCAUUGAUCUAAGCAUGAGAGUUAAAGGUCUGUCUUGAAUGGCCAUGGCUAGCCAGAGAAAGAUCAGAGAUGAUCAGAGAACAGUCAUCGAGCAAAGUUUGGACUAUGCCUCUUCAUGAUCUGGUCAUGAGACCACAAAAAUGAACACAUAGAAGCCAUGAAAGGCUGAUAUAGGUUUUCAAUGACCUUGGAAAUCCAUGGAUUAGGGCGUAUUAGGGUGGAAGUGGAUAGGGUUUGAGGGUGUUGUAGAGAAGAUUUUAGAGGAGAGAUAUUCAGAAGCAGCGUUUUGUGACGAACAAUAGGGAUUAG